GAGGACUUGACCAGGUAGCCAUUUUCGUUUUUUGUGGUGUGCGGGUGCCUUUGCAUGGUUUGUGUGUUACACGUUAUUGUAAAAUAAUUAGAAGAAUCUGCAUCCAUUCGUUCAAGGCUAACCGUUUAUCGCUUGACGGUGCACCAAAUUAUAAAGAGGCUGUACGUCGCAUAAUGUCGGCGGUAAUGACUGAUCAAUUGGCGGUAUUUUACAGUUAUAAAGGACAUAAAGGGAAACGGAAGUUUCACGAAAAAUAUUUAUCAAGUAUUGUCAUAAAUGCUGUCCAAGUGUGUCACUCAAAAACUUCAGAAAAUAUGUUAUUAAAAAAAUAUAUUGAAAGUGAAAUAGCGUUAUGGUUAAGUAAAGCUACUGAAAGGUCAAAAAAACAUUUAAAAAA
Long non-coding RNA from Photinus pyralis (common eastern firefly), 397 nucleotides. RefSeq lists it as uncharacterized. NCBI's taxonomy places the organism in Eukaryota, Metazoa, Arthropoda, Insecta, Coleoptera, Lampyridae. The transcript has 3 exons. The record is from RefSeq and is a predicted model, not a curated record.